CCUACGGGUGGCAGCAGUGGGGAAUAGUGGGCAAUGGGCGAAAGCCGGACCCAGCAACGCCGCGUGAAGGAAGAAGGCGUUCGGGUUGUAAACUUCUUGUGACAGGGAAGAGCAGAAGACGGUACCUGUCGAAUAAGCCACGGCUAACUACGUGCCAGCAGCCGCGGUAAUACGUAGGUGGCAAGCGUUGUCCGGAUUUACUGGGGGUAAAGGGCGUGUAGCCGGGCUGACAAGUCAGAUGUGAAAUCCGGGGGCUCAACCCCCGAACUGCAUUUGAAACUGUUGGUCUUGAGUAUCGGAGAGGCAGGCGGACUUCCUCGUGUCGCGGUGAACUGCGUAGUGAUUAGGAGGAACCCCAGUGGCGAAGGCGGCCUGCUGGACGACAACUGACGGUGAGGCGCGAAAGCGUGGGGAGCAAACAGGAUUAGAUACCCCAGUAGUC
RNAcentral lists this ribosomal RNA (442 nucleotides) under uncultured bacterium. Its description in RNAcentral is "partial 16S ribosomal RNA". It matches the Rfam family "Bacterial small subunit ribosomal RNA", at positions 338 to 795 of the family's 1533-position model. The record is from RNAcentral.